UACGUAGGGUGCGAGCGUUAAUCGGAAUUACUGGGCGUAAAGCGUGCGCAGGCGGCGCCGCAAGUCAGGCGUGAAAUCCCCGAGCUUAACUUGGGAAUGGCGCUUGAAACUACGGUGCUGGAGUGUGGCAGAGGGAGGUGGAAUUCCACGUGUAGCGGUGAAAUGCGUAGAGAUGUGGAGGAACACCGAUGGCGAAGGCAGCCUUCUGGGCCAACACUGACGCUCAUGCACGAAAGCGUGGGGAGCAAACAGG
RNAcentral lists this ribosomal RNA (253 nucleotides) under uncultured bacterium. Its description in RNAcentral is "partial 16S ribosomal RNA". It matches the Rfam family "Bacterial small subunit ribosomal RNA", at positions 524 to 776 of the family's 1533-position model. The record is from RNAcentral.